RNAcentral lists this long non-coding RNA (881 nucleotides) under Olea europaea (common olive). RNAcentral's name for it is "long non-coding RNA (OEUR_LNC000336)". Lineage: Eukaryota; Viridiplantae; Streptophyta; Magnoliopsida; Lamiales; Oleaceae. The record is from RNAcentral.
GGGAUAGUACUGAAAAACUACUUUUAAUUUUGUGGGUAGCCCACAUUCUUGAAAGUUAAUGGGCGAAGAAAAAGUGGUCUUUGAACUCAAGGUAAAAGAACGUCAGUCCACUUUUUAACUCAAGUUAAGUAAUGCUAUCAGUUUCACCAAAUUCCAAAUAUGCAGGUAAAAUUUUAAUUUAAGUAAAGUAAAUUGAAUUAAAUUAAAACCCAAAGGCCAUCAUUUUUGACAAAUAUAUGAUCAACUAAAGUUACCUCACGAAAAGGAAAAAAUUGGAACAAUUAAAGUGAAAGCUUUGAUCACUUAAAAUUUCCUUUUCCUGGAAAUAAAUCUGAGAGAAGAAAAACAAAAAAGUGAGAUUUUUUUCAAUUGAUUGUAGGGUAUUUCAGAAAAAUAUCUUCGUCACAGGCAACACCACGUGACUUCGACAUGCAUCCCUUGCCCACACCCUCUCUGUACAACUUUUGUACAGUCCACUGCUCGACAACUCUUACUAUCUCUGGCUUCAGUUUUCUUAUACAAUAAGGAAUGUCUCCCUCACAAAGUUUUAGGGACGGGGCGGUGAGAACCCUCAAAAUUGGAGUUCAACCUUUACAAUAAAGCUUCUUAUACAGUAUGGUAUUGUACAAGCCUUCUCACAAUUUGAGGGAGUCCACGUGAAUUUAAUGAUUGUGGCCCUUUUUACUGUGAAAGGGGUGUAAGGACUGUACAGUAAGCACUACGGUUUCUUAUAUGCAUCAGCAACAUCUUUUACGUAGCUUAAAAGUUACUUUUUCUAACUACUUUCGCCACCUCGCUUGCCACAUCUUUGUCGUCAAUUUCAAUUCAGAACGUCUUAUUAAGUCGUCCUUUUCAUGUCAUGUCUGAUUCUUCUGGUGAGU